This is a long non-coding RNA of Hydra vulgaris (swiftwater hydra), 340 nucleotides long. RefSeq lists it as uncharacterized. The record is from RefSeq and is a predicted model, not a curated record. Lineage: Eukaryota; Metazoa; Cnidaria; Hydrozoa; Anthoathecata; Hydridae.
UUUUUAGUUGUUAUUUCUCAAGAAGGAAGUUGGGUUACUGUAGAAACAUACGUUAAAGUACUUUUUUUGAUACAUAACUACGAAACAGAGGCUGUAUCAAAGUUUUCAUGCUAUAGUGCUGCUAAAAACUAUGGAAAUAUGGAUUGCUGAGGAUACUAAAUUUAGAAGAGUGCAAUUCUCAAACCGUAUUAAAGAAGCUUUGUCAAGAAAUAAAGUAGUAAGGGAAAGAGUGUUUCCAGUUUGCUUUCCUUCAAAAAGUUCUUAUACUGGUCAUUUUACUAGAGAUAUAUAUUUUAUGUAUUUAACAUGGAAAGCUGACUGUAAUUUGUUUAACAGGUAA